CUCAGUUCGGAUUGUAGGCUGAAACUCGCCUACAUGAAGCUGGAGUUGCUAGUAAUCGCGAAUCAGCAUGUCGCGGUGAAUACGUUCCCGGGCCUUGUACACACCGCCCGUCACACCAUGAGAGUUGGCAAUACCCAACGUACGUGAUCUAACCCGCAAGGGAGGAAGCGUCCUAAGGUAGGGUCAGCGAUUGGGGUGAAGUCGUAACAAGGUAGC
RNAcentral lists this ribosomal RNA (216 nucleotides) under uncultured bacterium. RNAcentral's name for it is "partial 16S ribosomal RNA". It matches the Rfam family "Bacterial small subunit ribosomal RNA", at positions 1287 to 1500 of the family's 1533-position model. The record is from RNAcentral.